GAUGAACGCUAGCGGGAGGCCUAACACAUGCAAGCCGAGCGGUAUUGUUUCUUCGGAAAUGAGAGAGCGGCGUACGGGUGCGUAACACGUUUGCAACCUGCCUUUAUCUGGGGGAUAGCCUUUCGAAAGGAAGAUUAAUACUCCAUAAUAUAUUGAACGGCAUCGUUUAAUAUUGAAAGCUCCGGCGGAUAGAGAUGGGCACGCGCAAGAUUAGCUAGUUGGUGAGGUAACGGCUCACCAAGGCGAUGAUCUUUAGGGGGCCUGAGAGGGUGAUCCCCCACACUGGUACUGAGACACGGACCAGACUCCUAAGGGAGGCAGCAGUGAGGAAUAUUGGUCAAUGGGUGAAAGCCUGAACCAGCCAUCCCGCGUGAAGGACGACUGCCCUAUGGGUUGUAAACUUCUUUUGUAUAGGGAUAAACCUACCCUCGAGAGGGUAGCUGAAGGUACUAUACGAAUAAGCACCGGCUAACUCCGU
RNAcentral lists this ribosomal RNA (478 nucleotides) under uncultured bacterium. RNAcentral's name for it is "partial 16S ribosomal RNA". It matches the Rfam family "Bacterial small subunit ribosomal RNA", at positions 28 to 506 of the family's 1533-position model. The record is from RNAcentral.